Long non-coding RNA from Canis lupus familiaris (dog), 984 nucleotides. RefSeq lists it as uncharacterized. The transcript has 6 exons. The record is from RefSeq and is a predicted model, not a curated record. Lineage: Eukaryota; Metazoa; Chordata; Mammalia; Carnivora; Canidae.
UUCAGGUGGACAGGUCACAGAACCUAGACUUUGGUCAUGCUGGACUACUUUGUCAACCACAAAUAGGUGACCCCAGUCCAGAGUGAUCUGAGCUGGAACAGGGAAUGUACGGGAACAUGUGACAGCUCUGAGGAGGCUCCAGAUCCAUGCAGGUGCAUCAGGGAAGUCUUCCUGGAGGAGAUAACAUUCUGGCUGAGGAGAUUGAAGAAAGUUCUGGAAGGCGGAACCUGGAGUGAUGUAUUCACUUCUGUGACCCAGGACCAAGAUCUAUGCUGGGCAGGAGAUGCCCUGGAGAAUGAGCCAACCCUCGCUGGGCCCUCUCAACGCUGUUCUCGAAGGCCGCAGGGAAGGGGUGAGGGGCAGGCCGGUGUGCAGACACCUCCCCACCCCUCCCCUGCCCCUUCCCCAGCCUUCCUGGCACCCGGCAUGGCUUUGCCCUCCUCCUGUCCACGCCACCCGCCGCUGGAGGUGGGGAGAGACUCCGGGGGCCGCGGCCCCUUCCUGCGCAGGCUGAGGGCCUCCAAGGCCGCAAAGGGCGCCACUCGGGCCCAGAGAUGCAUAUGCGCCAGGACACCCGCUGGAGCCUGGUGGCCCCUGGUGGCCCCGAGCAGAGCUGCCCGCUGCCCUCAGGAAAACGGAUCAAUAAAUAAUGAAGUGCGUGCAGCCUUCAGAAAGAACAGACCACUUCACAGGCAGUGACGUGGAAAGAGGUUGUAGAGUGGAAAAAAGAAAAAGCAAAGCUAUUCCGUGGUGACGAGGAUAUAGCGAAGACGAAGUGUACUAUGAACUCCAAGCAAAUCAAACUAGCCAGUGGAUGGAGGGGCUGUCCUGUGUUUGGAAACACACUGAGCAAAAGACAGGCUUCGCCAGCUGGACUCACCCAUACUAUUUCUCCCUCCCUCUUCCUCUUACCAUCCCACCCCCCUGUGUUAGCUCCGCGUACCUGGUGACGUGUAAAUUAAAUGCCUGUAUGUUAUGAUUCUA